This 21-nucleotide small nuclear RNA is filed under the name Arabidopsis thaliana (thale cress). RNAcentral describes it as "snRNA_05860". Lineage: Eukaryota; Viridiplantae; Streptophyta; Magnoliopsida; Brassicales; Brassicaceae. The record is from RNAcentral.
GCGGAACGGAGCAAUCCGGUC